This 404-nucleotide ribosomal RNA is filed under the name Actinomycetes bacterium. RNAcentral describes it as "Actinobacteria bacterium partial 16S ribosomal RNA". It matches the Rfam family "Bacterial small subunit ribosomal RNA", at positions 355 to 776 of the family's 1533-position model. The record is from RNAcentral. Lineage: Bacteria; Bacillati; Actinomycetota; Actinomycetes.
UGGGGAAUAUUGGACAAUGGGCGCAAGCCUGACCCAGCCAUGCCGCGUGAGUGAUGAAGGCCCUAGGGUUGUAAAGCUCUUUCACCGGUGAAGAUAAUGACGGUAACCGGAGAAGAAGCCCCGGCUAACUUCGUGCCAGCAGCCGCGGUAAUACGAAGGGGGCUAGCGUUGUUCGGAUUUACUGGGCGUAAAGCGCACGUAGGCGGACUUUUAAGUCAGGGGUGAAAUCCCGGGGCUCAACCCCGGAACUGCCUUUGAUACUGGAAGUCUUGAGUAUGGUAGAGGUGAGUGGAAUUCCGGGUGUAGAGGUGAAAUUCGUAGAUAUUCGGAGGAACACCAGUGGCGAAGGCGGCUCCCUGGACCAUUACUGACGCUGAGGUGCGAAAGCGUGGGGAGCAAACAGG